UUUUGAAGUCUGGCUCUCCCCGAGGGAAGCUGUGCUGGGAGCCAGGAGAGACUCCAGGAAGAUAUUGCACUACUGCAAAACACAAACACGUGUAAUCAUAAAAUGCAGCCCUGGGAAAUAGAAUAUGAUCAUCUCAGACUUAACAUUGUGGACAAUGGGAGACAGAUACUGCCUCUCCCUCUGCAUGAGAAAUCUUGUGUUCCCAAGCAAGUCUGGCAGGCACUUGCAGUAGCCAAGCAGCAACAUAUUUGAGCCCUUCCAAGUCAGCUUCCUAGUGGAGAAGAGAUCUGGUUCAUUCUAUGUGCUUUUUGUUCACACACCUCUGCACCAGUCCUGGCACACACAUGGUCAAAACAGCAUGCAAGGUAAAUCUCUCCCUUCAGGAAUGUUAGUCUUACCUACUUCCAGAGAGUGGUUCUGCCUUCAAGAA
Molecule: long non-coding RNA, 430 nt
Filed under: Crocodylus porosus (Australian saltwater crocodile)
Lineage: Eukaryota; Metazoa; Chordata; Crocodylia; Crocodylidae
Description: lncRNA (ENSCPRG00005007363.1)
Source: RNAcentral